AAUAUGGAAGAUAUUUUUAUAAACAAACAAUAUUUUUAAAGAAAUAUAGCAAUCAAAUCAAAUACUGAAUAAGAAAUAAGCUCAAUACCACUAAUUUCAUUAUUACUAAUCUCAGCGUUACUAAUAUAUCCUAUUCAGUACUAUUCUUAUAUAUUCUACCAAACCACCCUAAGUGAUGCUCGAGUGAAGUUGCAUCAUGUCCUUCUGAUUCUUUGUCUUCUUUUAUAGGCUUUGUCUUUUUGUACCAUUGACACGAAUUUGAGGUCUUGAUUUGAGAGAUUAGAUCAUCCUGAUCUAAUUAUAUUUUGGUCUUAAGGAUAACUCAAGAGAUUUUUCUAUAUUUGCUUUGCUUGUGUGGAUCAUUUACUUCAUCUAGCCCAGAUCUUCUUUCUCCUGCUUUAUCAUAUACUGAUCUAUUCUGAUGGUAAAUCUUCUUUAAUUAAUUGAUUGCUAGAUUGAUUUUUUUUCUUCUUACCUGCAUGGAGGGCUUCAGUUUCAUUUUAAGUGAUAAUAUUUGAUUUGACCCAAAAUUAGAAAAGAAAAAAGAUUUUAAAAAUUUAUGAUCUGAAACAUUUCUUGACUAUCUAUAUGACUAUAAACGAUUUCACUAAAGAUAGAAAGAGAAUUUUAAAAUUUAAAUUUUCAAUUAUGAGAAAAUGACAUUAUGUUUGGAACGAAAUUAAAAAGGAAAAUGAGACCACAUAAAUUGAAAAGUACAAGUAGUAGAUAAAAAUUUUGGGACAUUAGAACAAUUUACAAUAUUCUUUUCACUAAAAGUUCCCAACAACAAUCCAAUAUAAAAGAUCAAGACAUAACAUCACUUGAUAAGAUAAUACAAUAGGUACUAUUACAUAAUACCAAUGGAAGAGACAAAUAAAUUAUGAUAUGUUUCACUUAAUUAAUGUGCUGAACUCACUUGAUCAUCAAAGUUCUUCAAAUUCCCUUUAGGAUUCUUCUCAAAUCUCUCAAUUCUAAAGUGCAUUAACUCCACAUCUUUUGUUUCUCCAUCCAUAACAAGAUCAGCCAAAAUUUUCCCCACAAUUGGUCCCAUUUUGAACCCAUUCCCAGAAAAUCCACCAGCAAUCACUACAUCCUCACCAAACUCCCCUCCAAGAAAAUCAAUCACAUAAUCCUCGUCCGGGGUCAGGGAGUACAUACACGACUGCGUCAUGACCGGCCUUGUGGAGUCCACGAGGCCUCCGAAUACCUCAUGGAUCCACUUUCUGAGUGGAUCCAGAGUCACUGUGGGCGCCCAGGUCCUUUCAGUCGGCUUGCAGGGGCGCCCACCAUGCACCGGAAUUUUAAUCAAUCCCGGGUACUCAAGCGACGGUGUGCCGUAUAUGUACGGCUCACCAUAGCUAGCAAAAGUUGGAAAACCAUUAUCAAUAGUGAAUUUUGACUCAUACCCUUGUUUAAUUUUCCAAUACAUCACAGUUGUCUCCAAAGGUUGAAUUGGAAGUACAACUCCUGACACAUUUUCAACUAACUUUUUCAUCCAUGGACCCACUGUCACAACACAUUUUUUACCCCAAAACUCCUCACCACUUUUCACACUAACCAAAACACCCCCUCUUAAACUAUCUUUGUUGAUUUCAACAACUUCCAUGUUGUCUUUCAAGAAUGCACCAUUCUUGAUAGCAAGUGUUUGAAACAUGGACACUGCUUUUGUAGGCUUAAUAACACCACCAUACUCAGUAACAACACCUAUUGAAUUCUCAGGCAAUUGGAUCAAUUGAUGAAAUUCUUGAACGACUGUGUGAUGAUCAACAACUCGAAAAGGGAUUGAGUUUUUCUCACAACUCGAUAUGACAGCUUUAAGAGCUUUGUGAUCAGAAGGUCCACAGUCAAACUGUGAAGUCUUGAAGUAG
Molecule: long non-coding RNA, 1868 nt
Filed under: Capsicum annuum
Lineage: Eukaryota; Viridiplantae; Streptophyta; Magnoliopsida; Solanales; Solanaceae
Description: long non-coding RNA (CANN_LNC002255)
Source: RNAcentral